AUACGGAGGAUCCGAGCGUUAUCCGGAUUUAUUGGGUUUAAAGGGUGCGCAGGCGGCCAUUUAAGUCAGCGGUUAAAUCGUGGGGCUCAACCCCAUUCUGCCGUUGAUACUGGGUGGCUUGAUUGCGGUCGAGGUUGGCGGAAUUCGUUGUGUAGCGGUGAAAUGCAUAGAUAUGACGAAGAACACCGAUUGCGUAGGCAGCUGACCAGACCGCAAAUGACGCUCAUGCACGAAAGUGCGGGGAUCGAACAGGAUUAGAUACCCUGGUAGUCCGCAGAGUAAACGAUGAAUACUUGUUUUCGGCGAUAUAAUGUCGGAGGCAAAGCGAAAGCGAUAAGUAUUCCACCUGGGGAGUACGCCGGCAACGGUGAAACUCAAAGGAAUUGACGGGG
Molecule: ribosomal RNA, 392 nt
Filed under: uncultured bacterium
Lineage: Bacteria
Description: partial 16S ribosomal RNA
Rfam family: Bacterial small subunit ribosomal RNA
Source: RNAcentral